GCUGGAAUUAUGAUGAGUACCUAUUGCCGUUUACCCAUCUGAUUGUAUGAUGAGGAUAUUAUAAUUCUGAGAUUCCAGC
Small nucleolar RNA from Callorhinchus milii (elephant shark), 79 nucleotides. The record is from Ensembl. NCBI's taxonomy places the organism in Eukaryota, Metazoa, Chordata, Chondrichthyes, Chimaeriformes, Callorhinchidae.